GACAAUAAAUUUACCCGAGGGAGAGCGAAUGACAAGAGCGACGCCGCCUAGGGUUCUAAGGUGCCGGUUUCCCCCUCCCCCGCCGAAAAAAAAAAUCGAUUACGGCAGCGGGCGGAGGGGUAAUAUUCGUGCGCUAGAAUCUCAGUUCGAAGGCUAUCUAAAAUGACGCAAACCUCAAGAAGUGACGGGUGUUGCGGACUGGUUUUCGUUAUGCUUGGCAUUAUAUCAUUUCUAGGAUUUCUGUAUGCCGCCAUCCUGUCCAAGCUUCUUCCGCCACCGGAGAACCCAUUUUUGUCCGCCAUUCAGAAUGACAGGUAUUAUUGCUUAUUGCUGCCCUUGACUCUUCCAGUUUUGGUUGUUGCUGUAUAUUUGCAUUGGCUCAGCAUGAAACUUUUCAGGCAUGCAUAACUCGAUCCCAUUCCUCAUGUCUCAUUGUUCUUAUUCUUCUACAAUCAAGUGCACUUGACAAGGUGGAGAUGUAUAACUCUUGCUAGGCAAAGGAUGCAAGUUAAAAAAAAAUUCUAGCAUAAAAGAAAUUUAAGUAUACUGGUAACAGGUAUUAAACUCUGCUAAAUCAUCGCUAUAUAAGUAUUGGUAAAAAUUUAGCUGAAGCUGGAGAAUAGAACGAUGCAAUCUAACAUGAUUGCGUUUAAAUAAGCAAGGAGAGGAUGUUUCUGGUACUAUCUUUGAGAUGCGCAAAUGUUUUGGGUGAGAAAAAGAGUUGAUGAAGGGAGUCGCCAGAGCUGAGAUUUGUUGUUGUACGGGCUCCUUUGAUUCUUUGGUCGGCGGAUUUACUGAUGGAGACCCUCCUACAAAUCACUGAGGAAACUGUUAGAAGGCACCGAUGCCGGACACCCCGAUGACCCUCUGAUGCUUAAGUCAGUGAUUUUAGGAAGAUGAUAGUGAAAAUCCAUUCAAAGUUUAGAAUGAAAUCAGACUUAUAUUUCUUUACUAAUGUUACCUCUAUUAAUGCUAAUUUGGAGGGGUAAAUCGGGGAGAGAGGGAGGACUAUGUGGCAUCUAUCUGGUCUACUCAGCUAAGUCGUAUGGAAGCUUCCUGCGUAAUUGAAUUGUCCAUUUGUCCCUCUGGUGUUGGCCAAGGUAGUUAGGAUGUCUAGAGAGGCCGUGGAGAGAAUCAUUUUGAUGAUUGUAAUGCCGCCCUCAUGUGAGUUAAUCAUACCAUGUCACGUGAAGGGAAAGUGCGGUCGUCUUGCCUUGGCGAGCAGGGUAUUUGGGCGCAGCUCAGACAAUUUGGUAUAACUUUGGACGAGCAGAGGUCGAUCCACCUUAAACAAGGGAUGGGUGACCAUGCCGCCCGAGACAUCAUCAACUCGUUAAGUCUGUGUGUUCAUGCUGUUCGGCUCUGUGUCCGGACUCUUAGUAAGACACGAGACAUUGUCUUGUUGGCAGUUUUUCAAAGCUCGGUUUUGUGGCAUAACAAUAAUAUUAGAUUUAAACGUGUUUCUUCAUUAAAAAAAAUUGCUGUAUCUAAAUGUUGGGAAAUUAAUAUCAAAGUCAAGAAUGGGCGCUUGAAGAUCAUCUUGGAAUUGGAGAUUAGAAUGUUGCCUUGCAAGUGUUUAGCUCCACAUUACCGAGCUUUGAAAAACUGUUCUUGGGGUUAUAUAAUUCUUUGACAAUUGUUCCUGUAUCGGAGAUUCUAAGAAUUGUAUCGACUGGUGUUGGGAGUUGUCAAACACAUUGUGGAUGAGUGAGGGUUUGACUUUGUAGAUUGUUGAAAAUGUGAGAGAGAGAACUCUCUCCUGUAUUUUGUACUUAUUCUCUCGGUCGUUUUAUCUGUGAAUGUAGGCUUAAGCCAAACAAUUCGUUAAUGUCUCAUGUCUUUAGAAACUA
This is a long non-coding RNA of Asparagus officinalis (garden asparagus), 1850 nucleotides long. RefSeq lists it as uncharacterized. NCBI's taxonomy places the organism in Eukaryota, Viridiplantae, Streptophyta, Magnoliopsida, Asparagales, Asparagaceae. The record is from RefSeq and is a predicted model, not a curated record. The transcript is spliced from 3 exons.